GGAGUUGUAGCUCAGUGGUAGAGCACUUGCCUACCAUGUGUGAGGUACUAGGUUAGAUUCCCCAGCACCA
Molecule: transfer RNA, 70 nt
Filed under: Marmota marmota marmota (Alpine marmot)
Lineage: Eukaryota; Metazoa; Chordata; Mammalia; Rodentia; Sciuridae
Also listed under: 2 other names
Rfam family: tRNA
About the family: Transfer RNA (tRNA) molecules are approximately 80 nucleotides in length. Their secondary structure includes four short double-helical elements and three loops (D, anti-codon, and T loops).
Source: Rfam by way of RNAcentral